This 1419-nucleotide ribosomal RNA is filed under the name metagenome. RNAcentral's name for it is "bacterial SSU rRNA". It matches the Rfam family "Bacterial small subunit ribosomal RNA". The record is from RNAcentral.
GGCGGCGUGCCUAACACAUGCAAGUCGAACGAAGAGGCCCGCAAGGGCACUUCAGUGGCGGACGGUGAGUAACACGUAGGUGACCUGCCCCGAAGCAGGGGAUAACGGCUCGAAAGGGCCGCUAAUACCCAAAAGCAUCGCGAGUCGCAUCGCGAUGAGAGUUACGGCGUUUCGGGAGGGGCCUGCGGCCCAUCAGCUAGUUGGCAGGGUAAUGGCCUACCAAGGCGACGACGGGUAGGGGGCCUGAGAGGGUGACCCCCCACAUUGGCACUGACACACGGGCCAAACUCCUACGGGAGGCAGCAGUGAGGAAUAUUGCACAAUGAGCGAAAGCUAGACGCAGCAACGCCGCGUGGACGAUGAAGGCCUUCGGGUCGUAAAGUCCUUUUCAGGGGGACGAGAGAGGACGGUACCCCUGGAAUAAGUCACGGCUAACUACGUGCCAGCAGCCGCGGUAAAACGUAGGUCGAGCGUUAUCCGGAUUCACUGGGCGUAAAGCGCCUGCAGGCGGUCUUGUAAGUGGGACGUGAAAUCUCUUGGCUCAACUGAGAGGGGUCGUUCCAUACUGCAGGACUUGAGGGCAGAAGAGGGAAGCGGAAUUCCCGGUGUAGUGGUGAAAUGCGUAGAUAUCGGGAGGAACACCAGUGGCGAAGGCGGCUUCCUGGCCUGUUCCUGACGCUAAGAGGCGAAAGCUAGGGGAGCGAACGGGGUUAGAAACCCCGGUAGUCCUAGCCGUAAACGAUGGAUGCUAGGUGUAGGCGGUCCUAACCCCGUCUGUGCCGAAGCUAACGCGUCAAGCAUCCCGCCUGGGGACUACGGCCGCAAGGUUAAAACUCAAAGGAAUUGACGGGGGCCCGCACAAGCAGCGGAGCGUGUGGUUUAAUUCGAUUCUACACGAAGAACCUUACCCAGGUUUUACAUGCAGGUAGUAGUGAAGCGAAAGCAGAACGACCCUUCGGGGAGCCUGCACAGGUGCUGCAUGGCUGUCGUCAGCUCGUGCCGUGAGGUGUUGGGUUAAGUCCCCUAACGAGCGCAACCCCCGUCGUCAGUUAUAUGAGUCUGGCGAGACUGCCGGUCUAAAGCCGGAGGAAGGUGGGGAUGAUGUCAAGUCAGCAUGGCCUUUAUAUCUGGGGCUACACACACGCUACAAUGGCCGGUACAAUGGGUCGCCAACCCGCGAGGGGGAGCCAAUCCUAAAAAGCCGGUCUCAGUUCGGAUUGGAGGCUGCAACCCGCCUCCAUGAAGUCGGAGUUGCUAGUAAACGCAGGUCAGCCAUACUGCGUUGAAUACGUUCCCGGGCCUUGUACACACCGCCCGUCACGUCAUGGGAGCUGGUAACACCUGAAGCCGGUGGGCUAACCGCAAGGAAGCAGCCGUCGAGGGUGGGACUGGUGACUGGGACGAAGUCGUAACAAGGUA